UACGGAGGGUGCAAGCGUUAUCCGGAUUCACUGGGUUUAAAGGGUGCGUAGGCGGACUUAUAAGUCAGUGGUGAAAGCCCGGAGCUUAACUUCGGAACUGCCAUUGAUACUGUAAGUCUUGAGUACACUUGAGGUGGGCGGAAUACAUCAUGUAGUGGUGAAAUACUUAGAUAUGAUGUAGAACACCGAUUGCGAAGGCAGCUCACUAAAUUGUAACUGACGCUGAGGCACGAAAGCGUGGGGAUCAAACAGG
This 253-nucleotide ribosomal RNA is filed under the name uncultured bacterium. RNAcentral describes it as "partial 16S ribosomal RNA". It matches the Rfam family "Bacterial small subunit ribosomal RNA", at positions 524 to 776 of the family's 1533-position model. The record is from RNAcentral.